GGGAACAUCACGCGCCCCAGGGGCACUGGCAGACGCAGCAGGGCAGGCGGCCAGGGCAGAUGGGCCUUGGGCCGCACCUGGGAGACCCUCAGGCCUCUUGCGUCUCCGGCGCCACAGCGGCCCCUGGUGGCGGUCCCGGCCCUGGGCGCGGGCGGACCCUUUCUGCCCAGCGGGAUGCUCUGGGCGGCCAGGGUGCCGGGAAGAGGAAGAGGCGCGCUCAAGGCCCGGCCGGGCGUUGCUGGGGACGGCCGCGGGCAGGCAAGGACGGAAGGCGGCGGCCGGGCGGCAGCUAGUGGGAGGGACCGGCUCCCUGGCGGGCCGAGCCUCGCUACCUGCUGGAGGGCGUCCCGGCCCCAGCGCCCCCCGACACCCUGCCCCCGGCCAGAUUUAGCCCCUCCGACAGCCCGGCAGGCUGGAGAGCGACCGCCCGGGAUCCGGGACACUCCUGCGCAGCGCCAUUGUGGGGAUGCCUGGGCAGAGGGUCGACAUCCCAUCGCCCAGCUGUGCUGACAAGUCCUGGAAGCUGCUGUGGGACGCAGCCCUCGGUCCCUGCCACCUGCGUCUCCCUGGCCCAGCCCGCGCUGGCCCGCAUCGCCGGCACCACCUCUCAGCUGUCCGCUCCUUUGCAACCGUCCGCAGUUCCAAGUGCCACCGCCAGGUGUCGCUGCACACGUGCCGAGGCGCCUCUGCAAGCCAGACCUGGGAUUCAACCCUGGGGCCGGUCCGCGAGGUUCUGGGGACACCCAGGGUCCUGUUGCCCGCCGCCCGCAAUUUAUCUGUGCACGGAGCACCCCCACGCUGCACUAGGAACUUCCGCUGCUCCCGCAACUCCUCACUCCUCGGUGCCUUGUGCAUGCUGCCUUUAGUGCCUGCCCUGAUCUCCAGCUGGGCAACUCCUGCUGCACGUCAAUACCCACUGGAGGCAACACCUCCUUCAGGAAGCCUUCCCUGAUGCCACUGUAGUGGCCCCGUCUUGAGUUUCCACAGCCCCCUGUGGCUGCCUCAUCACUGCAGUGACUGCCUACUUGGCUGUGUCUGUUUCUGUGUCUGACUCCCCACUAGAAUGUGAGCUUUGGGAGAACAGGGAGGGCCGUGCACUGGGCUGUUGUGUUUUGAUUUUUAAAUAGACUUAAUUAUUUUUAGAAUAGUUUUAGGUUCACAGAAAAACUGAGCAGAAAGUACAGAGAGUUCCCAUACACCCCCAGCUCCUACAUGUGCACAGCCUCCCCCUCUAUCACAUCCCCAGCAGAGGGGUGCAUGAGGGACCUGCACUGGCACAUCAGUGUCACCCGCAGCCCAUGGUUUACAUGAGGGCUAUGGGUUCCAUGUGUUUGGUCAAAUGUACAACGACCCUUAUCCACCAUUAUUCUACACAGAAUAAUGUGUGUCACCGCCCGAAAGAUCCUCUGUGCUCCACCUCUGAACCCCUGUGCUCCCUUCCCCCAACCCCUGGAAACCACAGAUCUUUCUACUGUUCCCAUAGUUCUGUCUUUUCCAGAACGUCAUAUAGUUGGAAUCGUACAGUGUGUAGCCUUUUCAGAUCGGCUUCUUUCACAUAGCAAUAGGCAUUUAAGUUUCCUCCAUGCCAUUUCAUGGCUUGGUAGCUCAUUUCUUUCUAGCCCUAAAUACUAUUCCACUGUCUGGAUGUACCACAGUUUAUUUACCCACUCAUGAUACUGAAGGACUUCCUGGUUGCUUCCAAAUUUUGAAAACUAUGAAUAAAGCUGCUGUAAACCUCUGUGCACUGGUUUUUGUGUGG
This is a long non-coding RNA of Callithrix jacchus (white-tufted-ear marmoset), 1759 nucleotides long. Lineage: Eukaryota; Metazoa; Chordata; Mammalia; Primates; Cebidae. The record is from Ensembl.